GGCGGGAGAUUGCGGGAGAUGAGUCCGAGAGUUAGAGCAAAAGCUUCCGAAAUAUGGGAAUAUUUCAGGCCAACUGGUAAAAGAGUUGUUCAAGACAUUUGGAGCGGUUUUUUCUCUCCUCCAUAUCACCUCCGGGGCUCCAGAGAUGCGUUCACAGAAAGAAAAAGUCAACAAAGCAGUCCGCCGUCUUCACAACUCGGAGACAAACUAGCAGGCGCUACUAACCGGAGCAAGGACUAACCUCGCCUCAUAACGAGGCUGUGACCUA
This is a long non-coding RNA of Perca fluviatilis (European perch), 268 nucleotides long. RefSeq lists it as uncharacterized. The transcript is spliced from 3 exons. NCBI's taxonomy places the organism in Eukaryota, Metazoa, Chordata, Actinopteri, Perciformes, Percidae. The record is from RefSeq and is a predicted model, not a curated record.